AAUAAAUCACUUCAAUGUUAAGAUAUAAUGGCUUUGUGGACAAAGAAAGUACUAAAACAUGUGUAUCAAUCCCAAAUAUUGAAAAAUGUGAAUCGACAUAUAUCAAUAUUGAAGAUAACACAUCAAUUGGGAUACAGU
Molecule: long non-coding RNA, 138 nt
Organism: Hibiscus syriacus
Lineage: Eukaryota; Viridiplantae; Streptophyta; Magnoliopsida; Malvales; Malvaceae
Exons: 3
Source: RefSeq, a predicted model, not a curated record